This 303-nucleotide ribosomal RNA is filed under the name uncultured bacterium. RNAcentral describes it as "partial 16S ribosomal RNA". It matches the Rfam family "Bacterial small subunit ribosomal RNA", at positions 507 to 807 of the family's 1533-position model. The record is from RNAcentral.
AGCAGUCGCCACGGUAAUACGAAGGGGGCUAGCGUUGCUCGGAAUGACUGGGCGUAAAGGGCGCGUAGGCGGUUUAUACAGUCAGAUGUGAAAUUCCUGGGCUCAACCUGGGGACUGCAUUUGAUACGUAUGGACUUGAGUGGAGAAGAGGGUUGUGGAAUUUCCAGUGUAGAGGUGAAAUUCGUAGAUAUUGGAAAGAACACCGGUGGCGAAGGCGGCAACCUGGUCUUUAACUGACGCUGAGGCGCGAAAGCGUGGGGAGCAGACAGGAUUAGAUACCCCCGUAGUCCCUGUCUCUUAUAC